GCAAAUUACCCAAUCCUGACACAGGGAGGUAGUGACAAGAAAUAACAAUACGGGGCUUGAAGUCUUGUAAUUGGAAUGAUGGGAAUUUAAACCCCUUCCAGAGUAUCAAUUGGAGGGCAAGUCUGGUGCCAGCAGCCGCGGUAAUUCCAGCUCCAAUAGCGUAUAUUAAACUUGUUGCAGUUAAAAAGCUCGUAGUUGAAUUUCUGCUGCAUCGUUGACUGCGUUUGGCGUUUGUCAUUGUUGUGGCUUGGUUGGGUUUCGAUUGUUCGUUUCCCGGCGUUUACUUUGAGAAAAUUAGAGUGCUUGAAGCAGGCUUUUGCCUUGAAUACUUUAGC
This 335-nucleotide ribosomal RNA is filed under the name Theileria equi. Its description in RNAcentral is "SSU rRNA". It matches the Rfam family "Eukaryotic small subunit ribosomal RNA", at positions 436 to 808 of the family's 1831-position model. The record is from RNAcentral. Lineage: Eukaryota; Apicomplexa; Aconoidasida; Piroplasmida; Theileriidae.